UACGUAGGUGUCAAGCGUUGUCCGGAUUUAUUGGGCGUAAAGCGCCCGCAGGCGGCUUGCCAAGUUCGAUGUGAAAUCUCCCGGCUCAACUGGGAGGGUGCAUCGAAAACUGGCAGGCUUGAGGCAGGGAGAGGGAUGUGGAAUUCCCGGUGUAGCGGUGAAAUGCGUAGAUAUCUGGAGGAACACCGGUGGCGAAGGCGACAUCCUGGACCGGUAUUGACGCUGAGGCGCGAAAGCCAGGGGAGCAAACGGG
Molecule: ribosomal RNA, 253 nt
Filed under: uncultured bacterium
Lineage: Bacteria
Description: partial 16S ribosomal RNA
Rfam family: Bacterial small subunit ribosomal RNA
Source: RNAcentral